Molecule: long non-coding RNA, 525 nt
Filed under: Saimiri boliviensis boliviensis (Bolivian squirrel monkey)
Lineage: Eukaryota; Metazoa; Chordata; Mammalia; Primates; Cebidae
Description: lncRNA (ENSSBOG00000036429.1)
Source: RNAcentral
UCCGCCUAUCCAGUCCUGUUUUUUUUCCAUGCAGUUCAAAGUAAGUUGUAGAUGUUGAAACAUUUCACCCUCAAUGUUUCAGCAUGUGUUUCAUUAAGCAGAGUGAAAUGCAUCCGUCUCCUCUGUACGAUUGGAUGUGUUCUGACAGAUGGAUACACCUGUGUGAUCCAUACCCCUGUCAUGAGUCACAGCAUUGCCAAUGUCCUAGAAAGUUUCCUCAUGCCUAGUCAUUCCCAGUUUUGAGAUUUUCCCAUCGUGGCUGUGAUGAGACUCUGGGGACCUCUUGCUGCCUCCCAGAAGCUUCCUCUGUGCCCUACAUACCAGACUCUCCUUUCUCUGUCUCUUGCAGGAGCCUCGAACCUGGAUAGUCCAUGGCUUGUGGUCUCUGCAGCUCACAGGUUGUACAGGCCACACCGAGCAGUGUUCCAAGCUGUCCUGGGGCUGAUGCUGGGCAAGGCCUGGACCCCAGGUCAGUGUGACCUGCAGGAGUCAGGGCCCCAACAGGGAAGGUCUCGGUCCAGCUGA